This 484-nucleotide ribosomal RNA is filed under the name uncultured bacterium. RNAcentral's name for it is "partial 16S ribosomal RNA". It matches the Rfam family "Bacterial small subunit ribosomal RNA", at positions 30 to 507 of the family's 1533-position model. The record is from RNAcentral.
AUUGAACGCUGGCGGCAGGCCUAACACAUGCAAGUCGAGCGGAUGAAGGGAGCUUGCUCCUGGAUUCAGCGGCGGACGGGUGAGUAAUGCCUAGGAAUCUGCCUGGUAGUGGGGGAUAACGUCCGGAAACGGGCGCUAAUACCGCCUACGACCUGAGGGAGAAAGUGGGGGAUCUUCGGACCUCACGCUAUCAGAUGAGCCUAGGUCGGAUUAGCUAGUUGGUGGGGUAAAGGCCUACCAAGGCGACGAUCCGUAACUGGUCUGAGAGGAUGAUCAGUCACACGGGAACUGAGACACGGUCCAGACUCCUACGGGAGGCAGCAGUGGGGAAUAUUGGACAAUGGGCGAAAGCCUGAUCCAGCCAUGCCGCGUGUGUGAAGAAGGUCUUCGGAUUGUAAAGCACUUUAAGUUGGGAGGAAGGGCAGUAAGUUAAUACCUUGCUGUUUUGACGUUACCAACAGAAUAAGCACCGGCUAACUUCGUG